This 1462-nucleotide ribosomal RNA is filed under the name Streptococcus thermophilus. RNAcentral describes it as "bacterial SSU rRNA". It matches the Rfam family "Bacterial small subunit ribosomal RNA". The record is from RNAcentral. Lineage: Bacteria; Bacillati; Bacillota; Bacilli; Lactobacillales; Streptococcaceae.
GUUCGGCAGCGGGGUACCCGUACAAGCAAGUAGAACGCUGAAGAGAGGAGCUUGCUCUUCUUGGAUGAGUUGCGAACGGGUGAGUAACGCGUAGGUAACCUGCCUUGUAGCGGGGGAUAACUAUUGGAAACGAUAGCUAAUACCGCAUAACAAUGGAUGACACAUGUCAUUUAUUUGAAAGGGGCAAUUGCUCCACUACAAGAUGGACCUGCGUUGUAUUAGCUAGUAGGUGAGGUAAUGGCUCACCUAGGCGACGAUACAUAGCCGACCUGAGAGGGUGAUCGGCCACACUGGGACUGAGACACGGCCCAGACUCCUACGGGAGGCAGCAGUAGGGAAUCUUCGGCAAUGGGGGCAACCCUGACCGAGCAACGCCGCGUGAGUGAAGAAGGUUUUCGGAUCGUAAAGCUCUGUUGUAAGUCAAGAACGGGUGUGAGAGUGGAAAGUUCACACUGUGACGGUAGCUUACCAGAAAGGGACGGCUAACUACGUGCCAGCAGCCGCGGUAAUACGUAGGUCCCGAGCGUUGUCCGGAUUUAUUGGGCGUAAAGCGAGCGCAGGCGGUUUGAUAAGUCUGAAGUUAAAGGCUGUGGCUCAACCAAUAGUUCGCUUUGGAAACUGUCAAACUUGAGUGCAGAAGGGGAGAGUGGAAUUCCAUGUGUAGCGGUGAAAUGCGUAGAUAUAUGGAGGAACACCGGUGGCGAAAGCGGCUCUCUGGUCUGUAACUGACGCUGAGGCUCGAAAGCGUGGGGAGCGAACAGGAUUAGAUACCCUGGUAGUCCACGCCGUAAACGAUGAGUGCUAGGUGUUGGAUCCUUUCCGGGAUUCAGUGCCGCAGCUAACGCAUUAAGCACUCCGCCUGGGGAGUACGACCGCAAGGUUGAAACUCAAAGGAAUUGACGGGGGCCCGCACAAGCGGUGGAGCAUGUGGUUUAAUUCGAAGCAACGCGAAGAACCUUACCAGGUCUUGACAUCCCGAUGCUAUUUCUAGAGAUAGAAAGUUACUUCGGUACAUCGGUGACAGGUGGUGCAUGGUUGUCGUCAGCUCGUGUCGUGAGAUGUUGGGUUAAGUCCCGCAACGAGCGCAACCCCUAUUGUUAGUUGCCAUCAUUCAGUUGGGCACUCUAGCGAGACUGCCGGUAAUAAACCGGAGGAAGGUGGGGAUGACGUCAAAUCAUCAUGCCCCUUAUGACCUGGGCUACACACGUGCUACAAUGGUUGGUACAACGAGUUGCGAGUCGGUGACGGCGAGCUAAUCUCUUAAAGCCAAUCUCAGUUCGGAUUGUAGGCUGCAACUCGCCUACAUGAAGUCGGAAUCGCUAGUAAUCGCGGAUCAGCACGCCGCGGUGAAUACGUUCCCGGGCCUUGUACACACCGCCCGUCACACCACGAGAGUUUGUAACACCCGAAGUCGGUGAGGUAACCUUUGGAGCCAGCCCCGUUGUUUGUGCCGUCACCGGUC